CAGUCGCCACGGGAAUACGAAGGGGGCUAGCGUUGCUCGGAAUGACUGGGCGUAAAGGGCGCGUAGGCGGUUUUGACAGUCAGAUGUGAAAUUCCUGGGCUUAACCUGGGGGCUGCAUUUGAGACGUCAAGACUAGAGUGUGAGAGAGGGUUGUGGAAUUCCCAGUGUAGAGGUGAAAUUCGUAGAUAUUGGGAAGAACACCGGUGGCGAAGGCGGCAACCUGGCUCAUUACUGACGCUGAGGCGCGAAAGCGUGGGGAGCAAACAGGAUUAGAUACCCCCGUAGUCCCUGUCUCUUAUAC
Molecule: ribosomal RNA, 301 nt
Filed under: uncultured bacterium
Lineage: Bacteria
Description: partial 16S ribosomal RNA
Rfam family: Bacterial small subunit ribosomal RNA
Source: RNAcentral